Molecule: ribosomal RNA, 1007 nt
Filed under: uncultured haloarchaeon
Lineage: Archaea; Methanobacteriati; Methanobacteriota; Halobacteria; Halobacteriales; Halobacteriaceae
Description: bacterial SSU rRNA
Rfam family: Archaeal small subunit ribosomal RNA
Source: RNAcentral
GCAGGCGCGAAACCUUUACUCUGUACGCAAGUGCGAUAAGGGGACUCCGAGUGUGAAGGCAUAGAGCCUUCACUUUUGUACACCGUAAGGUGGUGUACGAAUAAGGGCUGGGCAAGACCGGUGCCAGCCGCCGCGGUAAUACCGGCAGCCCGAGUGAUGGCCGAUAUUAUUGGGCCUAAAGCGUCCGUAGCUGGCCGGACAAGUCCGUUGGGAAAUCUGUUCGCUUAACGAGCAGGCGUCCAGCGGAAACUGUUCGGCUUGGGACCGGAAGACCUGAGGGGUACGUCCGGGGUAGGAGUGAAAUCCUGUAAUCCUGGACGGACCACCGGUGGCGAAAGCGCCUCAGGAGGACGGAUCCGACAGUGAGGGACGAAAGCUAGGGUCUCGAACCGGAUUAGAUACCCGGGUAGUCCUAGCUGUAAACGAUGCCCGCUAGGUGUGGCGCAGGCUACGAGCCUGCGCUGUGCCGUAGGGAAGCCGAGAAGCGGGCCGCCUGGGAAGUACGUCUGCAAGGAUGAAACUUAAAGGAAUUGGCGGGGGAGCACUACAACCGGAGGAGCCUGCGGUUUAAUUGGACUCAACGCCGGACAUCUCACCAGCUCCGACAGUAGUAAUGACGGUCAGGUUGAUGACCUUACCCGAUGCUACUGAGAGGUGGUGCAUGGCCGCCGUCAGCUCGUACCGUGAGGCGUCCUGUUAAGUCAGGCAACGAGCGAGACCCGCACUCCUAAUUGCCAGCAGUACCCUUUGGGUAGCUGGGUACAUUAGGUGGACUGCCGCUGCUAAAGCGGAGGAAGGAACGGGCAACGGUAGGUCAGUAUGCCCCGAAUGAGCUGGGCAACACGCGGGCUACAAUGGUCGAGACAAUGGGAUGCAACUCCGAGAGGAGGCGCUAAUCUCCUAAACUCGAUCGUAGUUCGGAUUGAGGGCUGAAACUCGCCCUCAUGAAGCUGGAUUCGGUAGUAAUCGCGUGUCAGAAGCGCGCGGUGAAUACGUCCCUGCUCCUU